RNAcentral lists this transfer RNA (58 nucleotides) under Neotoma lepida (desert woodrat). It matches the Rfam family "tRNA", at positions 8 to 63 of the family's 71-position model. From Rfam's summary of the family: Transfer RNA (tRNA) molecules are approximately 80 nucleotides in length. Their secondary structure includes four short double-helical elements and three loops (D, anti-codon, and T loops). Lineage: Eukaryota; Metazoa; Chordata; Mammalia; Rodentia; Cricetidae. The record is from Rfam by way of RNAcentral.
UGGCUCAGUGGUUAAGAGCACUGGGUGCUCUUCCAGAGGACCUGGGUUCAAUUCCCAG